ACAAGUACCUUCGGCACAAGUACUUUACUUUGUGUUUUGAUGAUCUAACAUCCAGAAAAGAAACCUAUUGCACAUUUACAAGACCUUGAGAUCACAAAGUUCUAGUUUGGGAUCCAGCCUUUAGGAAAGCAAGGAAACUUCUAGGAGCUGACCAUAGAAGAGCUGGUUGGAAAUCUGAAGACCUAUGAGAUGAAGAGGAAGAUAGACAAUGAAAGAAGAGAACCAAAGAAAGAAAGAAUCUGGUACUCAAAGCUGAUAAUAAUAACUCAAGUGCAGAAGAGAGGAAGGAACGACUGAGAUAACAGAUCCCUACGAGUUCACAAGGAUACUGUAUGAAGUCAGCUCUCCAGCAGGAAAGUUAUUGCCUGCACAUGCUACUGCACAGGAAUAGUGUAUCAGUCAACUUUCUGUGGAAGACUCUUUACCUACCUUGCUUACAUCAUUGUAAGUAAUGUCACACAUGCAUAAACACAAUCAAGGAAGCUAAAACAUCUUACUUUAUGAGAGAACCAGAUGAAGGACCUAAAGUAUGCCUGGUACAAUCAUUCAAGUUGAUCGACUCAAGAUAAUUUGGGCAGUGUGCCUUCAGAAUCACAGGAACAAGAAUAGGGACCUGAUACCUUAGUGUUCCCCUGACAGAAGAAUAAGUCAGCAGUAUAGCUAGAAAGCAACUGCAG
This 677-nucleotide long non-coding RNA is filed under the name Nicotiana benthamiana. Its description in RNAcentral is "long non-coding RNA (NBEN_LNC004000)". Lineage: Eukaryota; Viridiplantae; Streptophyta; Magnoliopsida; Solanales; Solanaceae. The record is from RNAcentral.